RNAcentral lists this ribosomal RNA (489 nucleotides) under uncultured bacterium. RNAcentral's name for it is "partial 16S ribosomal RNA". It matches the Rfam family "Bacterial small subunit ribosomal RNA", at positions 30 to 507 of the family's 1533-position model. The record is from RNAcentral.
AUUGAACGCUGGCGGCAGGCCUAACACAUGCAAGUCGAACGGUAACAGGAAGAAGCUUGCUUCUUUGCUGACGAGUGGCGGACGGGUGAGUAAUGUCUGGGAAACUUCCUGAUGGAGGGGGAUAACUACUGGAAACGGUAGCUAAUACCGCAUACGUCGCAAGACCAAAGAGGGGGACCUUCGGGCCUCUUGCCAUCGGAUGUGCCCAGAUGGGAUUAGCUAGUAGGUGGGGUAACGGCUCACCUAGGCGACGAUCCCUAGCUGGUCUGAGAGGAUGACCAGCCACACUGGAACUGAGACACGGUCCAGACUCCUACGGGAGGCAGCAGUGGGGAAUAUUGCACAAUGGGCGCAAGCCUGAUGCAGCCAUGCCGCGUGUAUGAAGAAGGCCUUCGGGUUGUAAAGUACUUUCAGCGGGGAGGAAGGGAGUAAAGUUAAUACCUUGGCUCAUUGACGUUACCCGCAGAAGAAGCACCGGCUAACUCCGUG